Molecule: long non-coding RNA, 189 nt
Organism: Setaria italica (foxtail millet)
Lineage: Eukaryota; Viridiplantae; Streptophyta; Magnoliopsida; Poales; Poaceae
Exons: 3
Source: RefSeq, a predicted model, not a curated record
CCUGCCCCUGCUCCUGGUGAAUGACCAGGAGCAUAUAGUGGUACAAUUACAACACAAAAUCAAAUAGGAAGCUACCUGCGAAAAGGAAUUUCUUGAGAAUGGGUGAUAAGGCGGAUUGGGGUGAUACUUUUUUAAGGCAUUUGAUUGAUACUUGCAAAGAAGAGAUUGAAGCAGGGAAUAGGCCGAUGG